RNAcentral lists this ribosomal RNA (592 nucleotides) under Wolbachia endosymbiont of Bemisia tabaci. RNAcentral's name for it is "bacterial SSU rRNA". It matches the Rfam family "Bacterial small subunit ribosomal RNA", at positions 220 to 829 of the family's 1533-position model. Lineage: Bacteria; Pseudomonadati; Pseudomonadota; Alphaproteobacteria; Rickettsiales; Anaplasmataceae. The record is from RNAcentral.
AUUAGAUGAGCCUAUAUUAGAUUAGCUAGUUGGUGGAGUAAUAGCCUACCAAGGCAAUGAUCUAUAGCUGAUCUGAGAGGAUGAUCAGCCACACUGGAACUGAGAUACGGUCCAGACUCCUACGGGAGGCAGCAGUGGGGAAUAUUGGACAAUGGGCGAAAGCCUGAUCCAGCUAUGCCGCAUGAGUGAAGAAGGCCUUUGGGUUGUAAAGCUCUUUUAGUGAGGAAGAUAAUGACGGUACUCACAGAAGAAGUCCUGGCUAACUCCGUGCCAGCAGCCGCGGUAAUACGGAGAGGGCUAGCGUUAUUCGGAAUUAUUGGGCGUAAAGGGCGCGUAGGCUGAUUAAUAAGUUAAAAGUGAAAUCCCGAGGCUUAACCUUGGAAUUGCUUUUAAAACUAUUAAUCUAGAGAUUGCCCGAGGAUAGAGGAAUUCCUGAUGUAGAGGUAAAAUUCGUAAAUAUUAGGAGGAACACCAGUGGCGAAGGCGUCUAUCUGGUUCAAAUCUGACGCUGAGGCGCGAAGGCGUGGGGAGCAAACAGGAUUAGAUACCCUGGUAGUCCACGCUAUAAACGAUGAAUGUUAAAUAUGGGAAG